RNAcentral lists this ribosomal RNA (484 nucleotides) under uncultured bacterium. RNAcentral describes it as "partial 16S ribosomal RNA". It matches the Rfam family "Bacterial small subunit ribosomal RNA", at positions 30 to 507 of the family's 1533-position model. The record is from RNAcentral.
AUUGAACGCUGGCGGCAGGCCUAACACAUGCAAGUCGAGCGGAUGAAGGGAGCUUGCUCCUGGAUUCAGCGGCGGACGGGUGAGUAAUGCCUAGGAAUCUGCCUGGUAGUGGGGGAUAACGUCCGGAAACGGGCGCUAAUACCGCAUACGUCCUGAGGGAGAAAGUGGGGGAUCUUCGGACCUCACGCUAUCAGAUGAGCCUAGGUCGGAUUAGCUAGUUGGUGGGGUAAAGGCCUACCAAGGCGACGAUCCGUAACUGGUCUGAGAGGAUGAUCAGUCACACUGGAACUGAGACACGGUCCAGACUCCUACGGGAGGCAGCAGUGGGGAAUAUUGGACAAUGGGCGAAAGCCUGAUCCAGCCAUGCCGCGUGUGUGAAGAAGGUCUUCGGAUUGUAAAGCACUUUAAGUUGGGAGGAAGGGCUGUAAGUUAAUACCUUGCUGUUUUGACGGUACCAACAGAAUAAGCACCGGCUAACUUCGUG